GUUGGGUAGGGGAGCGUUCUGUAAGCCUGUGAAGGUGGCCUGUGAGGGUUGCUGGAGGUAUCAGAAGUGCGAAUGCUGACAUAAGUAACGAUAAAGCGGGUGAAAAGCCCGCUCGCCGGAAGACCAAGGGUUCCUGUCCAACGUUAAUCGGGGCAGGGUGAGUCGACCCCUAAGGCGAGGCCGAAAGGCGUAGUCGAUGGGAAACGGGUUAAUAUUCCCGUACUUGGUGUUACUGCGAAGGGGGGACGGAGAAGGCUAUGUUGGCCGGGCGACGGUUGUCCCGGUUUAAGCGUGUAGGUGUGUGUUCCAGGUAAAUCCGGUUCACUUUAACACUGAGGCGUGAUGACGAGGCACUACGGUGCUGAAGCAACAAAUGCCCUGCUUCCAGGAAAAGCCUCUAAGCAUCAGGUAACAUCAAAUCGUACCCCAAACCGACACAGGUGGUCAGGUAGAGAAUACCAAGGCGCUUGAGAGAACUCGGGUGAAGGAACUAGGCAAAAUGGUGCCGUAACUUCGGGAGAAGGCACGCUGACACGUAGGUGAAGUGAUUUACUCAUGGAGCUGAAGUCAGUCGAAGAUACCAGCUGGCUGCAACUGUUUAUUAAAAACACAGCACUGUGCAAACACGAAAGUGGACGUAUACGGUGUGACGCCUGCCCGGUGCCGGAAGGUUAAUUGAUGGGGUCAGCGCAAGCGAAGCUCCUGAUCGAAGCCCCGGUAAACGGCGGCCGUAACUAUAACGGUCCUAAGGUAGCGAAAUUCCUUGUCGGGUAAGUUCCGACCUGCACGAAUGGCGUAAUGAUGGCCAGGCUGUCUCCACCCGAGACUCAGUGAAAUUGAACUCGCUGUGAAGAUGCAGUGUACCCGCGGCAAGACGGAAAGACCCCGUGAACCUUUACUAUAGCUUGACACUGAACAUUGAGCCUUGAUGUGUAGGAUAGGUGGGAGGCUUUGAAGCGUGGACGCCAGUCUGCGUGGAGCCGACCUUGAAAUACCACCCUUUAAUGUUUGAUGUUCUAACGUGGACCCGUGAUCCGGGUUGCGGACAGUGUCUGGUGGGUAGUUUGACUGGGGCGGUCUCCUCCUAAAGAGUAACGGAGGAGCACGAAGGUUGGCUAAUCCUGGUCGGACAUCAGGAGGUUAGUGCAAUGGCAUAAGCCAGCUUGACUGCGAGCGUGACGGCGCGAGCAGGUGCGAAAGCAGGUCAUAGUGAUCCGGUGGUUCUGAAUGGAAGGGCCAUCGCUCAACGGAUAAAAGGUACUCCGGGGAUAACAGGCUGAUACCGCCCAAGAGUUCAUAUCGACGGCGGUGUUUGGCACCUCGAUGUCGGCUCAUCACAUCCUGGGGCUGAAGUAGGUCCCAAGGGUAUGGCUGUUCGCCAUUUAAAGUGGUACGCGAGCUGGGUUUAGAACGUCGUGAGACAGUUCGGUCCCUAUCUGCCGUGGGCGCUGGAGAACUGAGGGGGGCUGCUCCUAGUACGAGAGGACCGGAGUGGACGCAUCACUGGUGUUCGGGUUGUCAUGCCAAUGGCACUGCCCGGUAGCUAAAUGCGGAAGAGAUAAGUGCUGAAAGCAUCUAAGCACGAAACUUGCCCCGAG
Molecule: ribosomal RNA, 1598 nt
Filed under: Salmonella enterica
Lineage: Bacteria; Pseudomonadati; Pseudomonadota; Gammaproteobacteria; Enterobacterales; Enterobacteriaceae
Description: partial 23S ribosomal RNA
Rfam family: Bacterial large subunit ribosomal RNA
Source: RNAcentral